CUUGCUCUAUUCCUUCUUUUUUUAAUCAUGAUUUUCCAAUAUGAUAUUAUGUGUAUUUUGAUCCUAAAUUGGACUUUUUUCUGGAUUUUAGGAAUAUUUAACUGCUUCAGACUUUGAAAUAAUAUCAUGAGAGUAAAGCAAACCACAAAUAUGUACUCGUGGCAAAAUGGUGUUCGAGCGUUGGCGAAUAAGGAUUUGCUUGCAGCGUUGAAGAACAAUAAUAUGCAAAGAACAGAAAGAAAGGUUCUCUUAACAUAGAAAGUAAAGAAAUAAUGAAGUUCACACUACAGUUGACAAUCUGGAUGUGUUUCCUUUGUUAUUUGAACAUGAUUUAUUUUAACUUACAUAACAAGUAUGCACUACAAUAAUGAAUAUCUAUAUUAAUAGUAAUAAUAUUCCAUUAAACAUGGAUAUGGAAAAAAUAUUCUUUGACCGUGCAAGAUAAGAUAAAUCCAGACAUAGUCAGAGUCUUCAGUUAACUUGGAUGUGUUCCAUUUGUUUCAUCCACAUACUUGAAAUUUGUCUUGUAACUACAUGUAUUUUUAUGAGGUUAAGUGGUGAGUAAUAAACCUUUAUCAUAACAUUUUCUUAUUUGGGGAUAGUAUGUAUUUAUGUUGACACUAUGUGUACCUUCAUUCUUUUCAUUUUUCUGUACAAAACAAGACCAAAUGUGUCAUUUUAGUUUAACCAUUUUAAACUGUAUUUAUUAUACUCUUCAUUCGUAUAUUAUCAAACAUUUUAACAAAUUUAAAUGUGUUGUUAUUUUGAUUAUAUUGUAUCGGUGUCAUAGGGUACAUGUCCAUUCCUAGCCUUCAAGAUAAAACAGAUAUAUUCUUUGUUGUAAAAUGUGUUCUUUAUGCAUAAACAUAUAGAGUGGCUACAUAGAACUCAACACUUAGCAUAUUUAUUACAAAAUAUCUAAGGGUAGUACUGCAUGUGAUUGCUACAUUCAGUGUACCUCAUGUUAUAUAAUACAUUAUAUUAUAUAUGAUCAAUAAAACAG
Molecule: long non-coding RNA, 1003 nt
Organism: Mya arenaria
Lineage: Eukaryota; Metazoa; Mollusca; Bivalvia; Myida; Myidae
Exons: 3
Source: RefSeq, a predicted model, not a curated record